AACGAACGCUGGCGGCAUGCUUUACACAUGCAAGUCGAACGGUAACAGACCGCAAGGUGCUGACGAGUGGCGAACGGGUGAGUAAUGCAUCGGAACGUGCCCAGUCGUGGGGGAUAACGCAGCGAAAGCUGCGCUAAUACCGCAUACGAUCUAUGGAUGAAAGCGGGGGACCGUAAGGCCUCGCGCGAUUGGAGCGGCCG
RNAcentral lists this ribosomal RNA (200 nucleotides) under uncultured bacterium. RNAcentral describes it as "partial 16S ribosomal RNA". It matches the Rfam family "Bacterial small subunit ribosomal RNA", at positions 29 to 232 of the family's 1533-position model. The record is from RNAcentral.